Molecule: ribosomal RNA, 460 nt
Filed under: uncultured bacterium
Lineage: Bacteria
Description: partial 16S ribosomal RNA
Rfam family: Bacterial small subunit ribosomal RNA
Source: RNAcentral
CCUACGGGGGGCAGCAGUGAGGAAUAUUGGUCAAUGGACGCAAGUCUGAACCAGCCAUGCCGCGUGCAGGAAGACGGCUCUAUGAGUUGUAAACUUCUUUUGUACGAGGGUAAACGCAGAUACGCGUAUCUGUCUGAAAGUAUCGUACGAAUAAGCAUCGGCUAACUCCGUGCCAGCAGCCGCGGUAAUACGGAGGAUUCAAGCGUUAUCCGGAUUUAUUGGGUUUAAAGGGUGCGUAGGCGGUCGGUUAAGUUAGAGGUGAAAUCCCGAGGCUCAACCUCGGAAUUGCCUCUGAUACUGGUCGGCUAGAGAGUAGUAGCGGUAGGCGGAAUGCAUGGUGUAGCGGUGAAAUGCUUAGAGAUCAUACAGAACACCGAUUGCGAAGGCAGCAUACCAAGCUACUUCUGACGCUGAGGCACGAAAGCGUGGGGAGCAAACAGGAUUAGAUACCCCAGUAGUC